Molecule: ribosomal RNA, 582 nt
Filed under: Helicotylenchus sp. VII
Lineage: Eukaryota; Metazoa; Nematoda; Chromadorea; Rhabditida; Hoplolaimidae
Description: eukaryotic LSU rRNA
Rfam family: Eukaryotic large subunit ribosomal RNA (bases 405-582)
Source: RNAcentral
CCGGUGAGGUGGAAACGGACAGAGCUGGCGUAUCUGGCCUGUGUUCAGCCGUGUGCCCGAUGGCGCCGGGGAUGCCGCUCUCCAGAUUGGGACGGUGACCCGGUUGUGCCGGCGGGCUCGUGGUGCAUUGGCAGGUGGAGUGCGCUGAGGCGCUCGGUGCAGCGGCAUGAGCUCUGGCUUGAGGCCAGCCACGCAAGUGGUCUGGUACCCGGACAGGGGGAGUGCUGUUUGUGCUGGGUGUUGUGUGUGGGCAGUGGUCUCGGGCCCGGGUUGGGCCGAGCGGGCAGUGGGCGGCGGUCGCGUGCGACACGUGCCUGCGGUCAGUUCGGUCCCGCUCGUGGCUCCCACUUUGUCUCGCCUCGGUGUAAAAGCCGGUCAUCUGUCCGACCCGUCUUGAAACACGGACCAAGGAGUUUAGCGUGUGCGCGAGUCAUUGGGUGUUGAAAACCUAAAGGCGCAAUGAAAGUGAAGGUCUGCCUUGUGCAGCUGAUGUGUGAUCCUGGCCACUGCGGUGCGUCCGGGCGCAACAUAGUCCCGUCCCGAUUGCAUGCAAUGGGGCGGAGACAGAGCGUACGCGCUGAG